AACGAACGCUGGCGGCAGGCCUAACACAUGCAAGUCGAACGUGAAGCCACCUUCGGGUGGUGGAAAGUGGCAGACGGGUGAGUAACGCGUGGGAAUCUACCCAAUGGUACGGAAUAACUCAGGGAAACUUGAGCUAAUACCGUAUGUGCCCGAAAGGGAAGAUUUAUCGCCAUCGGAUGAGCCCGCGUCUGAUUAGCUAGUUGGUGGGGUAAGUGGCCCACCAAGGCGACGAUCAGUAGCUGGUCUGAGAGGAUGAUCAGCCACACUGGGACUGAGACACGGCCCAGACUCCUACGGGAGGCAGCAGGUGGGGAAUAUUGGACAAUGGGCGCAAGCCUGAUCCAGCCAUGCCGCGUGAGUGA
Molecule: ribosomal RNA, 362 nt
Filed under: uncultured bacterium
Lineage: Bacteria
Description: bacterial SSU rRNA
Rfam family: Bacterial small subunit ribosomal RNA
Source: RNAcentral